AGCAAACGGCUGCAUUACACAGAGGAAAACACAACAGUAACCUUAAAAGGUUACUGUUGUGUUUUCCUCUGUGUAAAGCAGUCGCU
Paramuricea clavata is the source of this 86-nucleotide non-coding RNA. NCBI's taxonomy places the organism in Eukaryota, Metazoa, Cnidaria, Anthozoa, Malacalcyonacea, Plexauridae. The record is from the annotation of a GenBank genome assembly.